RNAcentral lists this ribosomal RNA (479 nucleotides) under uncultured anaerobic ammonium-oxidizing bacterium. RNAcentral's name for it is "bacterial SSU rRNA". It matches the Rfam family "Bacterial small subunit ribosomal RNA", at positions 364 to 833 of the family's 1533-position model. The record is from RNAcentral.
UUUCGCAAUGCCCGAAAGGGUGACGAAGCGACGCCGCGUGGGUGAGGAAGGCCUUCGGGUUGUAAAGCCCUGUCAGGAGUUAAGAAAUGUAAGUGCGCUAAUACCGCAUUAAUUUGACGAAGGCUCCAAAGGAAGUCACGGCUAACUCUGUGCCAGCAGCCGCGGUAAUACAGAGGUGGCAAGCGUUGUUCGGAAUUAUUGGGCGUAAAGAGCACGUAGGUGGGUUUGUAAGUCAGAUGUGAAAGCCUCCUGUUCAACGGGAGAAUUGCAUCUGAAACUACAGAUCUUGAGUGUAGGAGGGGAGAAUGGAACUUCUGGUGGAGCGGUGAAAUGCGUAGAUAUCAGAAGGAACGCCGGCGGCGAAAGCGAUUCUCUGGCCUAUUACUGACACUCAGUGUGCGAAAGCUAGGGUAGCAAACGGGAUUAGAUACCCCGGUAGUCCUAGCCGUAAACGAUGGGCACUAAGUAGAGGGGUUUUA